UACGUAGGGUGCAAGCGUUGUCCGGAAUUAUUGGGCGUAAAGAGCUCGUAGGCGGUUUGUCGCGUCUGCUGUGAAAACGCGAGGCUCAACCUCGCGCCUGCAGUGGGUACGGGCAGACUAGAGUGCGGUAGGGGAGAUUGGAAUUCCUGGUGUAGCGGUGGAAUGCGCAGAUAUCAGGAGGAACACCGAUGGCUAAGGCAGAUCUCUGGGCCGUAACUGACGCUGAGGAGCGAAAGCGUGGGGAGCGAACAGG
Molecule: ribosomal RNA, 253 nt
Filed under: uncultured bacterium
Lineage: Bacteria
Description: partial 16S ribosomal RNA
Rfam family: Bacterial small subunit ribosomal RNA
Source: RNAcentral